AGAAGAAGAGAGGAGGAGGAGAGAGAGAAUAAAAAAUUUAAAAAGAAAAAAAUAAAAAAUAAAUUUCUAUUUUAAAAGAGGGCGUGACUGAGAUGAGAGAAGAAGAGAAGAAUAGAGAAGGAGGGAAGAGAAGAAUAGAAGAAGGGGAUAGGAGAGAGAGGAAAGAGGAAGAAGAAGAGAGAAAGAGAGGAAAGAAGAAGAAG
Molecule: unclassified non-coding RNA, 203 nt
Filed under: Hevea brasiliensis (rubber tree)
Lineage: Eukaryota; Viridiplantae; Streptophyta; Magnoliopsida; Malpighiales; Euphorbiaceae
Source: RNAcentral